Molecule: RNA transcript, 1943 nt
Organism: Argentina anserina (silverweed cinquefoil)
Lineage: Eukaryota; Viridiplantae; Streptophyta; Magnoliopsida; Rosales; Rosaceae
Exons: 2
Source: RefSeq, a predicted model, not a curated record
ACCACCCUCAGGAGUUGAGAAGCCAGAAACUCCAGAAUCAGAAGAUCUCAAGUCCUCAAAAACCCUAAACUCCUAAAAGGCCAAAACCUAAAACAAUGACACACCAAUUAUCGACCUACAAGAAUCUCAUACUCCACCUCUCACUCUCCCUCUCCCUCACUCUCCUCCUCACCUUCCUCAAACUCCCCAUCCUCUUCCUCCACAGCCUCCACACCUACAUCCACCCCGACCACAUCAACCCCUCCUCCUCCUCCUCCACCGCCGCCAUCCGCCGACCCGGCUCCGAUCCCAUCUCCCACCCGGAGCUCCGAAAGCGACCCAAGCCCAAAUCCAAGGCCAAAAACAACAACCCAACAACCUUCGAUGAAAACAACGCCCAGAUCUUCCGCCUCAAGCUCGACGAGGCCCACCUCCAGACCCGCAUCUUCUUCCGGGACUACACCAACGCCUUUACCUUCUCCUCCGUCGCCGCCGCCUGCCUCGCCCUGCAAAUCUACCUCGGCGGCGGCGGCGGCUCCUCCGGUGAUAAAUUCCUCGCCGGCGGCGUCUUCGUUCCGGUUCUCUUGAGCUUCGCCGGAGUUUCGAAGCUCGUGGCGGCUCUGGCGAAGGUCUCGGCGGAGAAAUCGGCGUCCAGGAGGUCGGAGAAGCAGCUGAGCUUUGCUUUCGGGGUCGUCGGGUUUGUACUGGGGAGCGUGGUGUGCUUUCGGUACGGCACAUCGGCUUUGGAUUUUAAUUUCGCAACUGUUGAUUCGAAUGGGAGGCUUUUCGUUGCGAUUUUGAUGGGGUGCUUUGCCGGAUUCUUGUUCAUGCCGGCGGCGAAGAACGCGAGGGCGUUUUGGUUAGGGACUGAUCAAGUAAGGUCCGAUUUGGGUAUGAUUUCGUGCGAGUGGUUUGGGAGAUUGGUGCUUUAUGUGAACUAUGUAAUGUCUGUGUUUACGGUUUUGCUGUGGAUCAAUCCCUUUUGUGAAAUGCUUGUCAAUAAGAAUAAUGGGAAGGUUCGAAAUGUGGAUGGUUUGAUUGGGAACAUCGGGUUUUCGGCUUCGGAAUUUGGUACAUUUCGGGUUUGGUGCUUGCUGAUUUCGGGGUUUCUGCAGCUGGUUGCGUUGAGGCCGAAUUUGCAAAUGUAUUUGAACGAGGCAUUGUUGUGUUGGUACCAGAGAUUGCAUGCUGGGAAGGUUCCUGACUUGGAGUUCAGUCGGGCGAAGGUGUUUUUGCACAAUCAUUACUUGUGCCUGGUGGUUCUGCAGUUCCUUGCGCCGCCGGUUUUGUUGCUUCUGUUUCUUGGGCUGUCUAGGGUGGAGGGCAUCUCUUCGGAUGAUUACAGAUAUGCUUGUAGUGUGCUGCCUUGUUCUGCGUUUGUGAGAGAAGUAGGGGUGUUUUUGGCUUGGUGGAUUCUGUUUGUUUGGGCUGUGUAUACUUCAGCUACCAUUUUUCUGUUUCGGAGAUGUUUUUUGUACAUGUCUUGAUGACUUGGAUGCUUUGCUUCAACCUUGAAGAUUAAUGAGGAGUCCUUGAGUUGGACUUCCCACAAAUUUUGAGUUUGAGUGUUGUGCUGCUUGUAGCGGGGUUUUCAUUGCUUAACAGCAUCUGCGAUUUGGCUUCAGAGCAUAGAGAAAAGAGAAUCAAACACAUUGUCUGGAAAACUAACUUCAAUACUAGGCAUCUCUACUACUAUAAAGGUACUACCAAAUUACGAACUUCCAAAAAUACUCUUUCACAUCUCAUAUUGGCAUAGAAACAAACAAACAGAGGUUUUAUAGUCAAAACAUAAAUAUUUUCAGAAAAUCAUAUCUUCACAAUAAUAAUCGCAUAUUUUUCCUGGCAUUCUCUGACUGUACAUUUGAACAUUUACACCUGUUAACUUCCUUAUCAAAAUCGGUUACAAGUUAAAUUCAAACUGCUGUGGAGACGUGGAUGACUAGAACAGGACAGACAAGUUCUGU